RNAcentral lists this unclassified non-coding RNA (242 nucleotides) under uncultured fungus. RNAcentral's name for it is "partial contains 5.8S ribosomal RNA, internal transcribed spacer 2, and large subunit ribosomal RNA". The record is from RNAcentral. Lineage: Eukaryota; Fungi.
AACGCACAUUGCGCCCGCCAGCAUUCUGGCGGGCAUGCCUGUUCGAGCGUCAUUUCAACCCUCAGGCCCUGCCUGGUGUUGGAGGACUGCGCAUGCAGCCUCCCAAAGCAAGCGGCGGCGGCGCCCCAUAACCGAACGCAGUAGUAACCUCUCGUUCUGGGUCUGGGUCGUUGUCCUGCCGGAAAACCCCCUUCUUUUUAAUGGUUGACCUCGAAUCAGGUAGGAAUACCCGCUGAACUUAA